UGGGGAAUUUUCCGCAAUGGGCGCAAGCCUGACGGAGCAAUACCGCGUGCGGGAGGAAGGCCUUUGGGUCGUAAACCGCUUUUGUUAGGGAAGAAAAUUUGACGGUACCUAACGAAUCAGCCUCGGCUAACUCCGUGCCAGCAGCCGCGGUAAGACGGAGGAGGCAAGCGUUAUCCGGAAUUAUUGGGCGUAAAGCGUCCGCAGGUGGCAUCUCAAGUCUGCUGUCAAAGCCCAGGGCUCAACUCUGGAUCGGCAGUGGAAACUGAGGCGCUAGAGUACGGUAGGGGCAGAGGGAAUUCCCAGUGUAGCGGUGAAAUGCGUAGAGAUUGGGAAGAACACCAGUGGCGAAGGCGCUCUACUGGACCUGUACUGACACUCAGGGACGAAAGCUAGGGGAGCGAAAGGGAUUAGAUACCCCGGUAGUCC
This 426-nucleotide ribosomal RNA is filed under the name uncultured prokaryote. RNAcentral's name for it is "bacterial SSU rRNA". It matches the Rfam family "Bacterial small subunit ribosomal RNA", at positions 355 to 796 of the family's 1533-position model. The record is from RNAcentral.